This 852-nucleotide small RNA is filed under the name Rattus norvegicus (Norway rat). RNAcentral's name for it is "uncharacterized LOC102551810". Lineage: Eukaryota; Metazoa; Chordata; Mammalia; Rodentia; Muridae. The record is from RNAcentral.
AAAAAAACAUGGAAACAUUAAUGACUGAAGAUACCAACUCUCUAAGAUUAUAUAUAUCACUGACGAAGAUUCCAAAAGAAUGGAACCUUUCUAAUGGCAAGAAUAUGUAAAGAAGAAUUCUACUGCACUCUGUAAUAUCAAGAAUAUCCACAUCCAAGGUGCUGAAAUACCCAUGGGAAAGAACACUGUUUUGCCAGACAUAAAGGGAUUGCACAAAGCCAGAAGUCUGACGGAAAUGUCAUACUGACAUGGAUUGUUGACAGUGACUGAAGACAUACAAUGAAGAAAAGACAUUAUCAUCAACAAAUGGGCUAAUGUGUUCAACAGAACAUAGGUGGCUAAGAGAAUCAAAAUACAUCUUUAGAAUUCAAACUACCAUCACCAUGGCUUGUGCGAUGAAUGCACUCAGGACUGACUUUUCAUUAUUAUCCCUUCAAAUCUCGACAAGACCUUAAAUGAUAGGUCAGAAGGCAUGGUUUACAAACACUCUACUCUUCCUAAACUUCAGGUACAAAAUGAAGAAGUAGGCAAGCUUUUCAGAUGAUUGAAUAUUGGAAGGAGCCUGUUGAAGUCAGAAAGCACAUGCACUUAAGCACCAGUGUUGGUAAUUCAGUCUCAAGGCAAAACAAGCACUUAACUCAUCCCAUGUCUCCUCCCCCUGUCUCCAAGAGGAUGCUCAUGGGAUGAACUGUGGGGUGGAGGGAAUGGGACAGUGACAACAUCUGGACUUUAAAAAAUAAAAGUAAUAAGGAAAUAGAACUCAUAAUUUUUUAUUUUCUAUUCUAAAUAGGCUAUUUUUAGAUCAAUUUUGUGGCUUAAAUGGAAUAAGAAAUGACUAAUUAGAUAACUGUA